Molecule: ribosomal RNA, 583 nt
Filed under: uncultured bacterium
Lineage: Bacteria
Description: bacterial SSU rRNA
Rfam family: Bacterial small subunit ribosomal RNA
Source: RNAcentral
GACGAACGCUGGCGGCGUGCAUAACACAUGCAAGUCGAACGGAACUAUUAGCAAUAAUAGUUUAGUGGCGGACGGGUGAGUAACGCGUGGGCAACCUGCCCCGGACUGGGGAAUAACGCAGAGAAAUCUGCGCUAAUACCGCAUAACACCAUAAUACCGCAUGGUAAGAUGGUCAAAGGAGAAAUCCGGUUUGGGAUGGGCCCGCGUCCGAUUAGCUAGUUGGUGAGAUAACAGCCCACCAAGGCAACGAUCGGUAGCCGGACUGAGAGGUUGGCCGGCCACAUUGGGACUGAGACACGGCCCAGACCCCUACGGGAGGCAGCAGUGGGGAGUAUUGCGCAAUGGAGGGAACUCUGACGCAGCGACCCGCGUGAAGGAUGAAGGCCUUCGGGUUGUAAACUUCUGUCUUCAGGGACGAGAAAGGACGGUACCUGAGGAGGAAACCACGGCUAACUGCGUGCCAGCAGCCGCGGUAAUACGUAAGUGGCGAGCGUUUGUCCGGAAUUACUGGGUGUAAAAGGCGCCGUAAGCGGGGAUGCAAGUUAAAUGUGAAAUAACCGGGGCUCACUUCCGGGCUGGCAUC